This 463-nucleotide ribosomal RNA is filed under the name uncultured Anoxybacillus sp. RNAcentral's name for it is "bacterial SSU rRNA". It matches the Rfam family "Bacterial small subunit ribosomal RNA", at positions 920 to 1382 of the family's 1533-position model. Lineage: Bacteria; Bacillati; Bacillota; Bacilli; Caryophanales; Anoxybacillaceae. The record is from RNAcentral.
CUCGCACAAGCGGUGGAGCAUGUGGUUUAAUCGAAGCAACGCGAAGAACCUUACCAGGUCUUGACAUCCCUGACAACCCGAGAGAUCGGGCGUUCCCCGUUCGGGGGGACAGGGUGACAGGUGGUGCAUGGUUGUCGUCAGCUCGUGUCGUGAGAUGUUGGGUUAAGUCCCGCAACGAGCGCAACCCUCGACCUUAGUUGCCAGCAUUCAGUUGGGCACUCUAAGGUGACUGCCGGCUAAAAGUCGGAGGAAGGUGGGGAUGACGUCAAAUCAUCAUGCCCCUUAUGACCUGGGCUACACACGUGCUACAAUGGUAGUUACAGAGGGCAGCGAGGCCGCAAGGCGGAGCUAAUCUCAGAAAAGCUGCCACAGUUCGGAUUGAGGUCUGCAACUCGGCCUCAUGAAGCUGGAAUCGCUAGUAAUCGCGUAACAGCAUGACGCGGUGAAUACGUUCCCGGGCCUU